RNAcentral lists this unclassified non-coding RNA (1005 nucleotides) under Hevea brasiliensis (rubber tree). Lineage: Eukaryota; Viridiplantae; Streptophyta; Magnoliopsida; Malpighiales; Euphorbiaceae. The record is from RNAcentral.
CCAACUGCCUCUACGGGUUGUCUCCUCAUUCUUACCAGGGAAACGAAGGAUUCAUACGCACACAGAAGAUGUUUUUCCACAUAGUAUUGGAAAGGAACAUGCAAUUGCACCCACGCUACUUCGGCCGCAACCUCCGCGAAAAUCUCGUCUCCAAGCUCAUGAAAGAUGUUGAGGGCACUUGCAGCGGUCGACAUGGGUUUGUGGUGGCAAUAACAGGCAUAGAGAACAUUGGGAAAGGAUUAAUCCGAGAUGGAACAGGAUUUGUGACAUUUCCAGUGAAGUACCAGUGUGUUGUGUUCAGGCCUUUUAAAGGAGAGAUUUUGGAAGCCGUUGUUACCAUGGUAAACAAGAUGGGGUUUUUUGCAGAAGCUGGACCAGUUCAAAUUUUUGUUUCAAACCAUCUAAUACCUGAUGAUAUGGAGUUCCAGUCUGGAGAUAUGCCAAGUUAUACAACUUCGGAUGGAUCAGUUAAGAUUCAGAAGGAUAGUGAAGUGCGAUUGAAGAUAAUUGGGACUCGAGUUGAUGCUACAGAAAUUUUUUGCAUUGGUACCAUAAAGGAUGAUUUCCUGGGCGUGAUAAAUGAUCCAGCAACUGCUUAGUGGAGUUGUGUACGAGAAACUUCAAUUGCAUCAAACUUUCCUGCAUGCAAUACAUUCUCUUCUUACUGCUUGUUAUAUAGUUUAUGAAUUUUUCUUCUCAACUCGGAUCUUAAGAAAUACUAAUACCUUGACAUGUUGAGUAUUUUCUUUCCCAGGCAAUUGAAAUUAGAACGGUGCAAAGUCAUAUUUCAUUUGGAAUCAUAAUAGUUGAACAUGACAUAAAAUCUUUAAGGGCUUAGAAUGUUUUCUUUUCUGAUGCCACUCUCUUACCUUCUGCCUCUCCUAAACCACCAGUCACCAAUCUGCUUCAUAAACUUAAGCCGUAACACCACUGUCACCGCUACCACCACAACAUCCAACAAUAACCAGCUAAAUCAAUUUGUGUGUAAGCAAGGCAACCUAAAAC